RNAcentral lists this long non-coding RNA (1306 nucleotides) under Lathyrus oleraceus (garden pea). RNAcentral describes it as "Pisum sativum (pea) long non-coding RNA (PSAT_LNC030111)". Lineage: Eukaryota; Viridiplantae; Streptophyta; Magnoliopsida; Fabales; Fabaceae. The record is from RNAcentral.
UUAAUAAAGUACAGACAAUGUAUCCAAGUUCUAAAAACGCAGAUUGAAAAAGACUGCAAACAAAGCGCCAACACAGUCCAUAACUAAGCAUAAACCACGUGAACACAAACGCAUAAGCCCGCAUAAACCACGUCUACAUCCAAGUUGCUACAACAAGUGAAAAACGCAGUGCACUCAAGCUGCAACUUAAAGUACAACUUCACAAUCCAAAGCCGGCAUAAACGGCAAUACAAUAAAAUGCAGCUAGCUACAACAGAAAAUUAAAGUACAGCUUCACAAAUCAAUCCAAAGCACAAGGAAAGCCGCAACACCGUCACAAGCAGCAAAAAGUGCAUCAAUCUAACCGCCAGUUGCGAAACGCACGCGGCAAAAUUCAAAACCGUUACGAAUCGCAAAGCCAAGAACCAAAAGUCCUGCACACACAUUGAUACUUCAAUUAAAACUUCAACCAAAAUACAACAGAGAUCAAAGAGAAAAUUCAUAAUACAGAAAUAGAAUAGAAAUGAAGAGAAAAUGAUGAGAGAACCUGAAGAAAAAUGCAGAAUUUUGGUAACCUCCAAUUGAUAACCGAACCGGAAACUGCUACGAAAACUGAGCUCCUCCAAUACACCACUUCAAUCACAUAAGAAUUCCUAACCAAUUGUCAAAAUAAUAGAGCCAACCAACUCUUUCAAGAAACCCUCAACAAACUUCAACCCAUAAUAACAAUCUCUCUAAUCUCAUAUAACUGAAACCACCAACUCACCAACCGAAAUUCAACCUGUAACAGAAUUAUGGGAGUUGAAAUCACCUCUAACCAACCUAACAGUUAUGACCAACUCUCAACAGAACCACUAACCGAAUAACCGAAUCCUUCAAUCCUAACCACCCUAACUGUUUUCACACAACUAACUUCCAACCUCUCAACAAACCGCCUCCAACUGAAUAAACCAAACUCCAACCUCCCCUAACAGAAUUGAGAACCAUCCUCAACCAAUUUCGAACCAACAGGAAGAGAAUUCCGCAACUGACUGUAAGGGGUUCCAUCAACCAAUAAAUGCUGAACCGAAUCACUCUCCACAUUUUUUUCUUCACCUCAUUUCAACAACUCCAUCUUCAAAAACCGCCUUUCACCACCCUCCUCAAGGAGGAACUUUCCCUCAACCCUGCAACUUCACAAUUGAUUCUCCAUCUUCAAACCACUCCUCAUCAAACAUCUUCAGCCGACCCUCUUCUUCAACCUCAACCCUGAGACCCUCCAUUCGAUCCGUAAAAUAGAACGUCAACCAACUCCAAAAUUCCUUUAACUGCUCCCUUCUCUCCAAAC